Molecule: ribosomal RNA, 198 nt
Filed under: uncultured bacterium
Lineage: Bacteria
Description: partial 16S ribosomal RNA
Rfam family: Bacterial small subunit ribosomal RNA
Source: RNAcentral
ACGCUCGACACCUACGGGAGGCNGCAGUGGGGAAUAUUGCACAAUGGGGGAAACCCUGAUGCAGCGACGCCGCGUGGAGGAAGAAGGUCUUCGGAUUGUAAACUCCUGUUGUUGGGGAAAAAGAGGAUGGUACCCAACAAGGAAGUGACGGCUAACUACGUACCAGCAGCCGCGGUAAUCUGAGCGGGCUGGCAAGGC